GUCCCAGAAGAAACAGAAACAUUGUUAUGAUUCACGAAAUCGUGCAUGCUGGAGCAAAGACUUUACCAUUGGAGAUACAGUACUUUUAAAGAACUUUAGAGCUCGAGGAUUAGACGAAAAAUACGUUGGGCCGUAACUGGUUGUUGAUGUUCAAGAUACUAGCUGUGAGAUAGAGUCGCUAGCCAAUAAGACAAGAAAGACUGUUCAUGCGAACAAUUUAAAACGAUUUCCGAUUGACUAUGAUAUUGCCGGAUCAGGUUUACGAAGAAAGUGAAGAUACCGAAAGUUCUGAAUGUGACUUUGACGAAAUUGGUAAUAAACUGCCGAAUCCUGAAGAACGCCAGAAUGUUCAAAGAAAUGAUGAUGGUGCCAAUGUG
This is a non-coding RNA of Paramuricea clavata, 377 nucleotides long. NCBI's taxonomy places the organism in Eukaryota, Metazoa, Cnidaria, Anthozoa, Malacalcyonacea, Plexauridae. The record is from the annotation of a GenBank genome assembly.